AUUCUCCUCCCGUGACACAUUCCACCUUCCACCUUCUAGAACUCACUCUCUCUUUUCAAACUCUCUGUCUUCUCUUCUCUCCACAUCACCAUAGCCCAACGAGAGCUCGAGACACCAUCACCACAGAUUCUAAUUAAAUCGAGACCCCAAACCACCAAAUACAAAACCUGCGCAACCUGGGGAUCCCUAUGGUACCGUGGUAUGUUAAAUUAUGUAAUGGGAAGUAGGAGAAUCCAAGCAGGGGUUCUCGGUGAGAGUAGCUCUAAUGGAAUCAAGCUACAACCUUUGAAUGCCUUCUAGCAUCUUGGAUUAAAUCUGGGUUCGAAAAUAUGGGUCUCUGACCUCUGUGAUUAUUUGUUCUUCACCCCAGCUUCUAGCAUGGAGCUCCGGCGAGGAACCCGUCGAACUUGGGGUCCCAUGAGCUCGAAUUGGUCCCGUUCGAAACUCAGAAAACCGGCAAUGGAAAUCCGACAUGUUCAUGUCGAAUCGAAGUGAAUUUGACUCGAUUUCAUCUGUUAUGAUGCCAUGAGGAAAUUAUCUGAAUUUCUGGUGAAAUUCUAGUGCAAACCCAUGUGAAACCGAGGUGUUUCACCUCUGUUCAUUCUCUGCAAUCAGUUCCAGAAACCAGCGAACCCACACCAGUGCAACUCCGGUGAAAUCUGAGACAAAUCUACCCUCUUUCAUCCUUAAUCUGUGAUUGGGUGCGAUGUUAUGAUACAAAGUUGAAUUAUGGGGCACCUAUGGUGGAUUAUACUCUCAUCAUCGGUGAGUGAACCCCUUCUUAAAUGAAUAUUUUAUAACUAUUAGUCUAGCGUGCAUUUUAAAUUUCAUGAUAUAAACAUGCCUUGUAUUAUGCUUUAUGGAAUUUCAUAUUCACGGUUAGAAAAUUGUGUUUUACAGAGAUUGCUUUACGAAAUAUUUCUGAUUAUCGAAUUUAUAUUUUCUAAAGGUUUUGAAAUAGUGGUUUUAUACGAAUGAAUUGUGGUGGAUUUAUUUGUGAGGAUGGAAAGGUAAGACUCUCACAUCGUUAAAAGGAGAAACUUGUAAGGGCUUAUAAGAGGUUGUACUACUUCUCAUAUUACAAAUUGGUUUUAUGGUGGAACCUCAACUUUCUUCAUGGUAUCAGAGCAGAUUAGCCCACGUGUGAACCUUAAUGGCUACACGCGCUUCAUAUCACUCAAUUCGUGUUAUCCACGUAUUUGGCUUGAAAAUUUGCUAUAUGUGAUUUUAUGAUGUAAGUUAGCUCAAUUUUCUGCACUUUAGUGAUUCCUAUUUCUUAUUGAAAGGAGAAAGUCACAUAUCAUUGAAAGGAGAAACCUUGCAAGGGCUUAUAAGAGGUUGUGUUAUUCCCUUUAUUACCAAUUGAUUUUACGAUGGAAACUAGCUCAACUUUCUACACUUUAGUGAUUACUAUUUCUUAUUAUUAGCUUUUGAUAUACAUAAAAAUAUAUAUUAAUUACUAUCUUGAACUAAUGUUCAAGUCAUUUGGACAUUUAUAAAUUCGAGUGGGAACCGGAAUCACGUGCACUUAUCUUGAACGUAUGGAAUGUUGAAGAUAAAAGAUAUUGCCACAGCAUCAGUGCCACAUCAGCAUUGCCAUGUCAGCAAGUUAGUUGAAAGUUGUAGCUGAUAGAAUUGGUUAUAUGCCAAAGAAAUCUUGAAUACAUAGUGUGAAUUUGUAAGAGGGUUUCCUGUGCAUUUGUGAAAAGUAUAUUGAAUUGUUGAAAGUAUGGCGUUCAAUUCUGUUAAAAUUGAGAGUCUUUUGGGUAUGAUUACUGUCAAACUACAAGAAGAUAACUUUGUAAAGUGGAGCUUUCAGUUUUAAGUCGGUUCUUAGGGGAUAUGAUCUUUUUGAUGCUGGUGUGACAAAAGAAAUUACUAAAACCUAUAAUGAAUUGGUCAAGAAAAAUGUUUUCUUGUUUAGUUUGUUAAUUGCAACACUUUCGAAUGAAGUUAUGGAUCAUGUCCUUGGCUGCGAGAAUUCACAGGAAGCGUGGAAAGGUUUGGAAGAGAGAUAUGCAUCUAUCUCAGUUGUAAGAAUCAAUCAACUCAAGAUUGAAUUUCAUACUGCACAAAAGGGGGUUGAUUCAGUAGAUAAAUUGCUUAGGUUGCAGCGUAUUAGAGACCAAUUAAUUGUUGCAGGAGAAAAGAUCACUAAAAAUGAUUUGGUGAUUGCUGCUUUAUCUGGAUUGCCAACAGAAUUUGAGAUGAUCAAGACAGUAAUUCUUGCAAGGGAAACUCCAAUUUUAUUGAAAAUUUUCAGGGCUCAGCUUCUUGGUGUUGAGGGAAGUAUUAAGUCAAAACUCAAUACCUUGUCUAACUUAAUGUCUGCAAUGUAUGUUCAAGGAAGUUCUUCAGGUUCACAAAGUUAAGGAGGCUACCAAGGCUAUGAACAAGUUGAAAGCUCAAAUAAUCAAAGAAAUCAGGGGGGAAAUGUUUUCAAUGGAUGAUCUAGCCAUGGAAGUAAUGGUGGAAAGACCUUUAAUUCACAACAAAGGUCUAACCACAACAAUAGGAGGUUCUCUGGUGGAAACAAGUGCUCAACAAACUUGGGAAUUGGUACCACCACCAGCAGAUGAUAGAUCCAUUAUUGGCAGCACAUGGGUAUACAAACUCAAAAAGAAUCCAGAUGGUACAAUCUCAAGGCAUAAAGCUAGGCUAGUGGCACAAGGGUUCUCUCAAGAAUAAGGGAUUGAUUAUUCAGAAACCUUUAGCCAUGUUGUGAGACACACCACAGUAAGGAUACUUUUGGCAUUGGAUGCAAUCAAAUAUUGGGAUUUAAGACAACUAGACAUCAAAAAUGCAUUUUUGCAUGGUGAAUUGCAAGAGGAUAUUUACAUGAAACAACGUCAGGGUUUUGUGGAUAUGACUAAUGCAUCCUAAGUAUGCAAACUUAUCAAGUCUCUAUAUGGACUUAAACAAGCUCCAGGAGCUUGGAACUCCAAAUUCACAAGCUACCUACCUGCAAUGGGAUUUAAAGCUUCAGCAUCUGAUUCAAGUUUAUUUGUCAAACAGUGUGGUGGUGAUGUUAUCAUACUACUGUUAUAUGUAGAUGAUAUUAUAAUCAUUGGUUCUAAUUCAAGUAAGGUGCAAAAUGUCAUCACAGAGUUAUCUGAGGUGUUUGAACUCAAAGAUAUGGGCAGGUUAACAUACUUUCUUGCGUUGCAAGUCAAUUACAAGAAGAAUGGUGAUAUCUGUGUAAAUCAAUCUAAGUACGUCAAAGAUCUUCUUCAUAAAGCUGGAAUGGAAUCUUGUAAGCCAGCAUCAACACUAUGUAAGCCACACAAUCCAAUGCUAGCCCUUGAAGGAAAAGUGUUGAUUGAUCCCAGGUUUGUAUAGAAGUAUUGUAGGAUCUUUGCAAUAUCUAACCUUUAUAAGGCCAGAUAUUGCAUAUGUAGUAAAUUUUGUACGUCAGUUCAUGGCUUCACCUACAGAGGUACAUUUAAGGGAAGUUAAAAGGAUUUUAAGGUUUCCAAAAGGAACUAUGCAGAAUGGUAUAACAUUUUCAACUGAUACAGAAGUGAGAAUCACUACAUUUAGUGAUUCAAAUUGGGUUGUAGACUUGAACACAAGGAGGUCAGUCACUGGUUAUGUAGUCUACAUUGGGAAUAAUCUAAUGUCUUGGCAGUUAAAGAAGCAUGAUUUAGUUUCAAGGAGUUCUGCAUAAGCUGAGUAUAAGGCAUUAGCCUACACUGUAGAUGAUGUAGCAUAGAUACGAAACAUUUUGAAAGAUAUGGAUGUUGUGCUACCUUUUCCACUGUGAUA
Long non-coding RNA from Malus domestica (apple), 3765 nucleotides. RefSeq lists it as uncharacterized. Lineage: Eukaryota; Viridiplantae; Streptophyta; Magnoliopsida; Rosales; Rosaceae. The record is from RefSeq and is a predicted model, not a curated record.